RNAcentral lists this ribosomal RNA (447 nucleotides) under uncultured bacterium. RNAcentral describes it as "bacterial SSU rRNA". It matches the Rfam family "Bacterial small subunit ribosomal RNA", at positions 329 to 793 of the family's 1533-position model. The record is from RNAcentral.
GUCCAGACUCCUACGGGAGGCAGCAGUGGGGAAUAUUGCACAAUGGGGGAAACCCUGAUGCAGCGACGCCGCGUGAGUGAAGAAGUAUUUCGGUAUGUAAAGCUCUAUCAGCAGGGAAGAAGCAGACGGUACCUGACUAAGAAGCCCCGGCUAACUACGUGCCAGCAGCCGCGGUAAUACGUAGGGGGCAAGCGUUAUCCGGAUUUACUGGGUGUAAAGGGAGCGUAGACGGCUAAGCAAGUCUGAAGUGAAAGCCCGGGGCUUAACCCCGGGACUGCUUUGGAAACUGUUAAGCUAGAGUGCUGGAGAGGUAAGUGGAAUUCCUAGUGUAGCGGUGAAAUGCGUAGAUAUUAGGAGGAACACCAGUGGCGAAGGCGGCUUACUGGACAGUAACUGACGUUGAGGCUCGAAAGCGUGGGGAGCAAACAGGAUUAGAUACCCUAGUAC